GGAUGAACGCUGGCGGCGUGCUUAACACAUGCAAGUCGAACGAUGAUCCCAGCUUGCUGGGGGAUUAGUGGCGAACGGGUGAGUAACACGUGAGUAACCUGCCCUUGACUCUGGGAUAAGCCUGGGAAACUGGGUCUAAUACCGGAUACGACCAUCUGGCGCAUGUCAUGGUGGUGGAAAGCUUUUGUGGUUUUGGAUGGACUCGCGGCCUAUCAGCUUGUUGGUGGGGUAAUGGCCUACCAAGGCGACGACGGGUAGCCGGCCUGAGAGGGUGACCGGCCACACUGGGACUGAGACACGGCCCAGACUCCUACGGGAGGCAGCAGUGGGGAAUAUUGCACAAUGGGCGCAAGCCUGAUGCAGCGACGCCGCGUGAGGGAUGACGGCCUUCGGGUUGUAAACCUCUUUCAGUAGGGAAGAAGCGUAAGUGACGGUACCUGCAGAAGAAGCGCCGGCUAACUACGUGC
This 467-nucleotide ribosomal RNA is filed under the name Arthrobacter sp. SC30. Its description in RNAcentral is "bacterial SSU rRNA". It matches the Rfam family "Bacterial small subunit ribosomal RNA", at positions 27 to 508 of the family's 1533-position model. The record is from RNAcentral. Lineage: Bacteria; Bacillati; Actinomycetota; Actinomycetes; Micrococcales; Micrococcaceae.